AAUGAACGCUGGCGGCAGGCCUAACACAUGCAAGUCGAACGGGUACCUUCGGGUGCUAGUGGCGGACGGGUGAGUAACGCGUGGGAACAUACCCUUUGGUACGGAAUAGCCUCGGGAAACUGAGAGUAAUACCGUAUGUGCUCGAAAGAGGAAAGAUUUAUCGCCAAAGGAUUGGCCCGCGUUGGAUUAGGUAGUUGGUGGGGUAAUGGCCUACCAAGCCGACGAUCCAUAGCUGGUUUGAGAGGAUGAUCAGCCACACUGGGACUGAGACACGGCCCAGACUCCUACGGGUGGCUG
Molecule: ribosomal RNA, 297 nt
Filed under: uncultured Pseudomonadota bacterium
Lineage: Bacteria; Pseudomonadati; Pseudomonadota
Description: uncultured proteobacterium partial 16S ribosomal RNA
Rfam family: Bacterial small subunit ribosomal RNA
Source: RNAcentral